RNAcentral lists this ribosomal RNA (244 nucleotides) under uncultured bacterium. RNAcentral's name for it is "partial 16S ribosomal RNA". It matches the Rfam family "Bacterial small subunit ribosomal RNA", at positions 531 to 774 of the family's 1533-position model. The record is from RNAcentral.
GUGGCAAGCGUUGUCCGGAUUUAUUGGGCGUAAAGCGAGCGCAGGCGGAAAGAUAAGUCUGAUGUGAAAGCCCCCGGCUUAACCGGAGAAUUGCAUCAGAAACUGUUGAACUUGAGUGCAGAAGAGGAGAGUGGAACUCCAUGUGUAGCGGUGGAAUGCGUAGAUAUAUGGAAGAACACCAGUGGCGAAGGCGGCUCUCUGGUCUGUAACUGACGCUGAGGCUCGAAAGCAUGGGUAGCGAACA